Long non-coding RNA from Tupaia belangeri chinensis (Chinese tree shrew), 862 nucleotides. RefSeq lists it as uncharacterized. NCBI's taxonomy places the organism in Eukaryota, Metazoa, Chordata, Mammalia, Scandentia, Tupaiidae. The record is from RefSeq and is a predicted model, not a curated record. The transcript has 4 exons.
UCCAUUUCUCCAUCCCAUCAGGAUUUGGGGUUGAUAUCUUUGCUACCCACAUUUUCCUUUAGAAAGAAGAAUGCAUUCAUGAUCCCAGAGAUUGAAGGCAGAUCACCGUCCCAUCUGAACCCACCCUGUUGCAUGCGGAGGCACCACCUUUUCUUCUGUGAAAGAAAAACAGUUGAAAGCAGUCUGUGGAAUUCAUGGAGUACGAAUUGGGCACUGUCCUAGAGAGACAAAGACAGGAAAAUGUGUUCUCUUUCUCGUUUCUUUGCACAUACUGUCCCCCUCUGCCCAGAACACUCCACAACCAUGUCUUCAUCUAUUAAUUCCUAUCAUUAUUCACAUCCUUAAAACACUCAGCUCAGACUUUAACCCACUAAAAAGGGCCCCAGCCACAGUGGCACAGGCAGUGGGGACUAUGCGAUGCUGGACCAGCAGUGCUAUAGCUUGAAGAAGCUAAGAUAUAGCCAUUUGAUGGUGUGGUAGUUAAGGCGGCUGGAUCCCAAUGGCUGGCUGCAUGAGGAGGCUGCAGGUUUCCAACCCAGGUCUACCUAAAUGUGCAAGACAUGACCAUGGACACAUCUAUGAUCCUGGCUGGCUGUAGAACUGGUGGGGGAGGGGGUGUCACAGUAUGAAUAAUUUGUUGAGAGUUUCCUCACUCACAUAUGAAAGAAAGAAAGAAACUUUCAAAAAGUGGAGAGGGAGAGUGUCCUAUAGCCUCCCACACUCUGAUGUCGCAAUUUCAGCAGACAAUAAUUUGUCUCCUUGCACUGACCAGACUGAACAACCUAAGUUCAAGCUUGCAGCCCUUAGCUCUGUGGCCUUACUACCUGGUACAAUGUCUGCUCUAUGUUAAGUGCUCCAUAAA